CCUACGGGUGGCUGCAGUGGGGGAUAUUGCACAAUGGGGGGAACCCUGAUGCAGCGACGCCGCGUGGGUGAAGAAGGGCCUCGGCGCGUAAAGCCCUGUCAGCAGGGAAGAAAAUGACGGUACCUGUAGAAGAAGCCCCGGCUAACUACGUGACAGCAGCAGCGGUACUACGUAGGGGGCAAGCGUUAUCCGGAUUUACCGGGCGUAAAGGGGGCGCAGGCGGCGAUGCAAGCCAGGAGUGAAAGCCCGGGGCUCAACCCCGGGACUGCUGUUGGAACUGGGUGGCUGGAGUGCAGGAGGGGCAGGCGGAAUUCCUGGUGUAGCGGUGAGAUGCGUAGAUAUCAGGAGGAACACCGGUGGCGAAGGCGGCCUGCUGGACUGCAACUGACGUUGAGGCCCGAAAGCGUGGGGAGCAAACAGGAUUAGAUACCCUUGUAGUC
RNAcentral lists this ribosomal RNA (440 nucleotides) under uncultured bacterium. RNAcentral describes it as "partial 16S ribosomal RNA". It matches the Rfam family "Bacterial small subunit ribosomal RNA", at positions 338 to 795 of the family's 1533-position model. The record is from RNAcentral.